This 490-nucleotide ribosomal RNA is filed under the name uncultured bacterium. RNAcentral describes it as "partial 16S ribosomal RNA". It matches the Rfam family "Bacterial small subunit ribosomal RNA", at positions 30 to 507 of the family's 1533-position model. The record is from RNAcentral.
AUUGAUCGCUGGCGGCAGGCCUAACACAUGCAAGUCGAACGGUAACAGGAAGCAGCUUGCUGCUUUGCUGACGAGUGGCGGACGGGUGAGUAAUGUCUGGGAAACUGCCCGAUGGAGGGGGAUAACUACUGGAAACGGUAGCUAAUACCGCAUAACGUCGCAAGACCAAAGAGGGGGACCUUAGGGCCUCUUGCCAUCGGAUGUGCCCAGAUGGGAUUAGCUAGUAGGUGGGGUAACGGCUCACCUAGGCGACGAUCCCUAGCUGGUCUGAGAGGAUGACCAGCCACACUGGAACUGAGACACGGUCCAGACUCCUACGGGAGGCAGCAGUGGGGAAUAUUGCACAAUGGGCGCAAGCCUGAUGCAGCCAUGCCGCGUGUAUGAAGAAGGCCUUCGGGUUGUAAAGUACUUUCAGCGGGGAGGAAGGGAGUAAAGUUAAUACCUUUGCUCAUUGACGUUACCCGCAGAAGAAGCACCGGCUAACUCCGUG